RNAcentral lists this long non-coding RNA (245 nucleotides) under Gossypium raimondii (Peruvian cotton). Its description in RNAcentral is "long non-coding RNA (GRAI_LNC011094)". The record is from RNAcentral. Lineage: Eukaryota; Viridiplantae; Streptophyta; Magnoliopsida; Malvales; Malvaceae.
GCUAAACAAGGAAAAUAAAAAUCAAACUAUGUGUGGUGUUUUUUGGGGGGUAGAAGGAAUGGUAGAAUGAAUGAAUACUCGGAAGCAACAAGAAAUAAUAACAAAAUAAAACUCACAAGACUUUUCACUCUUUAUUUUUAUACUUCAAAUUUUUUGUUUUUUUUUUCAAUCAAUUUUUUUCGAUUUUUUUUGAAUUUCCUCUUCUUUUUUUAUUUCUUUUUUUCAAUUACAAUAUGCUGAAAUAC